AGGACGAACGCUGGCGGCGUGCCUAAUACAUGCAAGUCGAACGGUCUUUCUAUGGAAGCUUGCUUCCACUGAGAAGAUAGUGGCGAACGGGUGAGUAACACGUGGGUAACCUGCCCAUAAGAGGGGGGAUAACAUCCGGAAACGGGUGCUAAUACCGCAUAGUUUUCUUGAUCGCAUGAUCGGGAAAGGAAAGACGGCCUUUGUGCUGUCGCUUAUGGAUGGACCCGCGGCGUAUUAGUUAGUUGGUGAGGUAACGGCUCACCAAGACGAUGAUACGUAGCCGACCUGAGAGGGUGAUCGGCCACAUUGGGACUGAGACACGGCCCAAACUCCUACGGGAGGCAGCAGUAGGGAAUCUUCCGCAAUGGACGAAAGUCUGACGGAGCAACGCCGCGUGAGUGAAGAAAGGGUUUUCGGAUCGUAAAACUCUGUUGUCAGAGAAGAACAAGUUGGAGAGUAACUGCUCCAGCCUUGACGGUAUCUGACCAGAAAGCCACGGCUAACUACGUGCCAGCCGCCGC
RNAcentral lists this ribosomal RNA (521 nucleotides) under uncultured bacterium. RNAcentral describes it as "bacterial SSU rRNA". It matches the Rfam family "Bacterial small subunit ribosomal RNA", at positions 26 to 518 of the family's 1533-position model. The record is from RNAcentral.